Coturnix japonica (Japanese quail) is the source of this 200-nucleotide non-coding RNA. The record is from RefSeq and is a predicted model, not a curated record. NCBI's taxonomy places the organism in Eukaryota, Metazoa, Chordata, Aves, Galliformes, Phasianidae.
GCUCCUCCUCCCCUCAGCUGCAAGUGGGGCAGUGCUCGAGUGUGAGGACUCUUCCUUGGCAUGCGGUAACAGACAAUGCAGAUGUGACUUUUGUGUCCUUCCUUGUUCUUGGCAAGCUUGCCGAGGCAAGGCAAGCGCUACUCAGCUGAGGAAGAAAGCCGAGAAGGAAAGCAGAAAGCAACGAUGAGGGCUUGAGCAAG